This 366-nucleotide unclassified non-coding RNA is filed under the name uncultured Rozellomycota. Its description in RNAcentral is "uncultured Cryptomycota partial contains 5.8S ribosomal RNA, internal transcribed spacer 2, and large subunit ribosomal RNA". The stretch from base 1 to 102 matches the Rfam family "5.8S ribosomal RNA", at positions 53 to 154 of the family's 154-position model. The record is from RNAcentral. Lineage: Eukaryota; Fungi; Rozellomycota.
AUGCGAAAAGUAAUGCGAUUUGCACGAAUCUGUGAGUCAUCAAGUCUUUGAACGCACCUUGCACCGUAUGAGCAAUCGUACGGUAUACCUGUUUGAGAAUCGUAAAACUCUCUUUCUACUACUAGUUAGUGGAAGAUUUGUCGGUUGUGCAUCACUGCACUCUGAUUAAAAGGAUCAAGUUUGAAUCGGGCUGGUGGCCUGGGACAUUGUGUGCUAGAGACGUCGCUUCGGCUGACUGUCUUCUCACAAUGCGUCCUUGGCUACUUAAAGCUGGUCUGAUUUCGGGCUUUUCAGUAGUAAUCUUCACGGAAUACUACAAUCCCCCCUUUUGAUCUCAAAUCAGGUAAGGCUACCCGCUGAACUUAA